GCGCCCGUAGCUCAAUUGGAUAGAGCAUCGGUCUUCGAAACCGAAUGUUGGGGGUUCGAGCCCCUCCGGGCGCA
This 74-nucleotide transfer RNA is filed under the name Planctomycetales bacterium. Its description in RNAcentral is "tRNA-Arg". It matches the Rfam family "tRNA". From Rfam's summary of the family: Transfer RNA (tRNA) molecules are approximately 80 nucleotides in length. The record is from RNAcentral. Lineage: Bacteria; Pseudomonadati; Planctomycetota; Planctomycetia; Planctomycetales.